This 498-nucleotide ribosomal RNA is filed under the name uncultured bacterium. RNAcentral describes it as "partial 16S ribosomal RNA". It matches the Rfam family "Bacterial small subunit ribosomal RNA", at positions 28 to 523 of the family's 1533-position model. The record is from RNAcentral.
GAUGAACGCUAGCGGCAGGCCUAAUACAUGCAAGUCGGACGGGAUUGGAGAGCUUGCUUUCCAUGAGAGUGGCGCACGGGUGCGUAACACGUAUGUAACCUACCUUAAUCUGGGGGAUAGCCUCUCGAAAGAGAGAUUAACACCGCAUAACAUUACCGGACAGCAUUUUUUGGUAAUCAAAUAUUUAUAGGAUUAAGAUGGGCAUGCGGAACAUUAGCUAGUUGGUAAGGUAACGGCUUACCAAGGCUACGAUGUUUAGGGGAUCUGAGAGGAUGACCCCCCACACUGGUACUGAGACACGGACCAGACUCCUACGGGAGGCAGCAGUAAGGAAGAUUGGUCAAUGGGCGCAAGCCUGAACCAGCCAUGCCGCGUGCAGGAAGACGGCCCUACGGGUUGUAAACUGCUUUUGUACCGGAAUAAACCCUUUUACGUGUAAGAGGCUGAAUGUACGGUAAGAAUAAGGAUCGGCUAACUCCGUGCCAGCCGCCGCGGUAA